GAUGGCGCAGCGGUAGCGCAGCUGACUGUUAAUCAGCGUGUCGCAGGUUCAAAUCCUGCUC
Molecule: transfer RNA, 61 nt
Filed under: Lancefieldella parvula
Lineage: Bacteria; Bacillati; Actinomycetota; Coriobacteriia; Coriobacteriales; Atopobiaceae
Also listed under: 1 other name
Rfam family: tRNA
About the family: Transfer RNA (tRNA) molecules are approximately 80 nucleotides in length.
Source: RNAcentral